Molecule: unclassified non-coding RNA, 648 nt
Filed under: uncultured Prochlorococcus sp.
Lineage: Bacteria; Bacillati; Cyanobacteriota; Cyanophyceae; Synechococcales; Prochlorococcaceae
Description: partial 16S-23S ribosomal RNA intergenic spacer; may also contain 16S ribosomal RNA and 23S ribosomal RNA
Rfam family: tRNA (bases 304-376)
Source: RNAcentral
UUGUGGAGGAGGACGCCGAAGGUGGGGCUAAUGACUGGGGUGAAGUCGUAACAAGGUAGCCGUACCGGAAGGUGCGGCUGGAUCACCUCCUAACAGGGAGACAACAAAAUGUUAAAUAUUAAUUUUGUCACCUUAGGUCGAUCGGUAUCUCACAUUUUUAAUUUAUUAAGAAUUUUAUUUCCUAAGUUUUUUCUAGGUCACACCCAUUACUUUCCCUGGGCCAUUAGCUCAGGUGGUUAGAGCGCACCCCUGAUAAGGGUGAGGUCCCUGGUUCAAGUCCAGGAUGGCCCAUAUCUCUAUGUUGGGGGUAUAGCUCAGUUGGUAGAGCGCCUGCUUUGCAAGCAGGAUGUCAGCGGUUCGAGUCCGCUUACCUCCACUGAUUACCACCUCUUCCAUAUUUCAAAGAAGGGAAAUGUUUUGAGUUUUGAUCAAAUUCUGAACGAAUCUAGCUUCCUAAUAAAUAAUUAUUAAGAUGCUGGACUCAUUGAAUUAAAUUCAUUGUUUUCAGAGAACCUUGACAACUGCAUAGAUUAUUAUUUAAAGACAAUAAGCAUCUUUGAUGAUGCAGAUUUAUUAUUUGUGCGAAUGCAUUAAUAACAAUUCUAUUAAGCUGAUGCUUCAAUUUUGAAGUUAUUGGUCAAGCUACAA